Grammomys surdaster is the source of this 702-nucleotide long non-coding RNA. RefSeq lists it as uncharacterized. NCBI's taxonomy places the organism in Eukaryota, Metazoa, Chordata, Mammalia, Rodentia, Muridae. The record is from RefSeq and is a predicted model, not a curated record. The transcript is spliced from 3 exons.
CGGCAGGGGCGCCGGACUCCUGAAGACUUGGCUGCUGGACAAAGUCUAGGACAGGACAGGGUGCAGGUAGUGUUCGCGCGCGACUUUUCUCACCUUUUCCACCUUCUGAGUGGCUCCGGGAGGUGUGAGUAUCGGAACACAGGAGAUGAACGAAGCAGACGUCCAGGUUGUUUCACUUGCGAUGAUCAAAAUGGAGAGGAAGAUGGUGUUCUGCACAGAGAAGGAUGCAAACUCAAACUCCUGCCACAUCCUCUUUAAAAAGGAUGCCUAGACUGCCUAGCAGUAUUUAUAUAUUAAGAUAUACAAGAUGGAAGAGAGAAUUCAGUACAGCAUUAACAGUGGAGGAAACUUAACAGCACUUCAAGUCAGGCAAGUGAUCAAGGUCAAGAAUGCCUAUGAAGUCAUGGUGAUAACCUGUGUCCCUUAUUGCAUGAUGACAAUGAUCCCUCGCCUUUACAACCUUCUACCUGAAAAUCCACAGCCCUGACUGAUGAGCGAGUGCUUUGUAAUUUACCUGUGUGAUGAUCCUUAGAACAGUUAAAGACACCAAAGCAGGGGACAUCUCAGAAAUGGUCACCAGCAUGGAGAGUCUGAGGAGCUGAGAAGGCUGAACUGAAUGACAUUUUGCAUGGGAUCCUGGAGUGGGUAAAUGAAAUUGGGACAACAAGGGAAUCUGAAUAAACAAUAUGCUGUACUUAAUAA